RNAcentral lists this ribosomal RNA (394 nucleotides) under uncultured bacterium. RNAcentral's name for it is "bacterial SSU rRNA". It matches the Rfam family "Bacterial small subunit ribosomal RNA", at positions 28 to 418 of the family's 1533-position model. The record is from RNAcentral.
GACGAACGCUGGCGGCGCGCUUAACACAUGCAAGUCGAGCGAGAACCUGGCUUCGGCCAGGGGAAAGCGGCGAACGGGUGAGUAACACGUGGGCAACCCACCCUUGGUAUCCGGAUAGCCCGGGGAAACUCGGAUUAAUACGGAAUGGCCCAACAGCUCUUCGGGGCGGUUGGAAAAGGUAGCUUCGGCCUCCGACCAAGGACGGGCCCGCGGUGGAUUAGCUUGUUGGUGAGGUAACGGCCCACCAAGGCGACGAUCCAUAGCUGGUCUGAGAGGACGAUCAGCCACACUGGGACUGAGACACGGCCCAGACUCCUACGGGAGGCAGCAGUGGGGAAUAUUGCACAAUGGGCGCAAGCCUGAUGCAGCGACGCCGCGUGGGGAUGACGGCCUC